This 253-nucleotide ribosomal RNA is filed under the name uncultured bacterium. RNAcentral's name for it is "partial 16S ribosomal RNA". It matches the Rfam family "Bacterial small subunit ribosomal RNA", at positions 524 to 776 of the family's 1533-position model. The record is from RNAcentral.
UACGUAGGGUGCGAGCGUUAAUCGGAAUUACUGGGCGUAAAGCGUGCGCAGGCGGUUUUGUAAGCCGGAUGUGAAAUCCCCGGGCUUAACCUGGGAAUGGCAUUCGGGACUGCAAGGCUGGAGUGCGGCAGAGGAGACUGGAAUUCCUGGUGUAGCAGUGAAAUGCGUAGAUAUCAAGUGGAACACCAGUGGCGAAGGCGAGUCUCUGGACGAUUCCUGACACUGAGGCACGAAAGCCAGGGGAGCAAACGGG